Manduca sexta (tobacco hornworm) is the source of this 4006-nucleotide RNA transcript. RefSeq lists it as uncharacterized. The transcript is spliced from 2 exons. The record is from RefSeq and is a predicted model, not a curated record. NCBI's taxonomy places the organism in Eukaryota, Metazoa, Arthropoda, Insecta, Lepidoptera, Sphingidae.
UUUUAAUGUUGUCUUCUAUUUUCCUAAAUGUACUUUGCCACGUUAUAUUACUUGAAAAUCGAUGUGUUUAAAUCACUUUUUUAUUUGCUUUGACAUUUUCUGCGCUACUUAGCGUCGUGUUUCUGAUAGUUUCGAAAUUGAUAAGUAGUAUUAUCAGUGAAAUGCUGGAAUUCACCCGAUGGACGGGUUUGUCAUGUGUUGAAAUACACGCCAGAUUGUGGCAAAAAUAAAUUUUGUAAGCACACAAUGUGCAUCUUAUUUUUACUCUUUUGAUAUGUUAAAUGAUGCAACUGAUCAGCGCGGAAAGGAUUUUUGAGUGUUAUAUUAAAGUUUUAAUGUGUGCAAACUGCAAAGUAACAAAAUGUAAGUGUGAAGUAACGUGAUGUUUGGAGGCAAACGUCGUGUUUAUUUCUAAUGUAAAUGUUAAAAAUGUUUUAUACGAAGGGAGGUUAUUAAUGUGCGUUUCAUGCAUUAACGUGGCAAUCGGACGGAUUUUUUUACCAGCCACAUUUUUUGUAAUUGCACAAAAAGAAAAGAAUUGUUUUGUUUCAUUUAACAUAUCAAAACGAUAUAAUCCGCCUUUACAAAUAGGCUUGUUUGUAGUUGUCGACAGUGGCUCGACACGAAAAUAUAUACUUUUGAGAAUUGUCUCUUUCUUACUGUAAGCAGCAAGUGAAAUGCUUCGAUUAAGACGUUAAUGUACAUGUUGGUGAAAUACAAUUGAUGUGAUUUUGUAUAAGCUGUCAUUUUAUUUACCCACUCAACCCUUUUCAUACAAUAAUUAUAAUCUUAAACACAAAACUAUUUUAUUCAUGAAAGUUGAUAUUUCUAAUGAAAGAUAUUAUUCAUUCCAAUAAAUCUUGUGUUUUCGUGAAUAACAUUCAUGAUUUUGUAAUAUGAACGCUUAAAAAUACGUUCAAUAUAAUGUUACAUCAGAGCUGAAUAACACGUCGCACCCAUUAUGCUUGUCGCCAGAUCGGAGCAGCGGAACAACGGAGAGGAUGCCAGAGCCGCUCUGUCUGACAAACAGAUGAGGACGGGGCCGCGAUACCCAGUCGAUAGAUAUUUGGUUGAGAGCAGCAAAAAUAUUGAAAUGGUUAACAUCAUAGAUGACGAUUUAUGGAAUCCAGAGCCAGCAUUAAGACCAGAAGAUGAAAUAAUUCUACGUAAAUUGCAUGAGAUGCUGCAAUCGACUGCAGACGACCUGAAACUUCUGUCCGGGGAACUGUCUAAAUUUCAUGAGCCUAGUGUGCAAAUCAAACAGCGCCCACUCCGUUGGAUGAAGAAUUUAAUGAAAAGUUCACAUUCAGGAAAUUGUAAACGCAAAAUUUUAUGGGCACAAAAUUAUUGAUAAAACCCCACACGCGGAACCAGCGGUGUUUCGUGGCGUCACUGCAAAAUCAAAGCCCGUAUUAAAUGUACAAAGGCCCAAAGUAAACAAUACUGGUGUGCAAGUUAACGUCGCGCCAACGCUUCAAACUAAACUAGUAAACAGAAAUUUAGGUAUAUCUCGCACUAAGAUAAUACAAAUUAGCGAUAAGAGACAAGAUAACAAAAAUAGUAAAAAUUUGAAUAAUUGUAAAGUAUUUAAUAAUGCGCCAGCCGUAGCUUAUAAUGAAUUCUGUUAUAAAUAUGUUGAACCGAUAGUUAAAGAAAACUCACGUAAAGUGCUGCAAGUACAAGAAAUGCCAAGCAUUAAUAUAAGAAGCGAAUUAAAAGAGCAGAAGGUCUUGAAUAUAGAUAUUUUGCCAGAAUGCACAAAAAGUAAGCCAACUCAUAGUUGCAUCAAUGUAUCUGUAGUGACUAUACAACAUGAGACAGAACCAAAGCAUGUACCUGUAACGACAAAGUCUGUGCAAUAUGAGCAACCAAACUUCAAUAAGCCAGUUCGAAAAUUGUAUAAAAUGUCUACAUGUGAUAGCAGCGGAUCCACUAAUAAUGUUAGUUCUGAGGUCCCAGUAGUCCAAGUUAGACGUUCUUCAAAAACACCUAGGCAAGCCAACUAUCAAAAGAAAAUCACAGGAAAUAAUAAAGAGGUACAGACGAAGUCACAUAUUAAUUUAGAAGAGUGGAAAAGAAAACUCAAUAAAGUUUAUGGUCCAUCCAGUUCAAGAAAAAAUGCUGGAACAUCUAAACCAAAAAAUAGUAAAAGAACACAUUCAGGUAUAGUAACACUCAAUCCGACCAAACUAAACAAUGCUGAAUACAUACCAUAUUCGCAACUAACAUUAGGUGGAGUUAGAGUAAGUGACAUAGAAAAAGAAAUAUCUGAAAUUCGAAAUAAGAAUGAUAUAUCACUAAGUCCUGUUUUAGAUAGAAUUCUAAAUAGCCAAGAAAAUAGUCCUAGGAAGUACAAACCCAAGGAUAGUCCUAGACUUCUAACAACGUCAGAUGAAAAUUUAUUACAAGAAGUUUUAGAUAUAGAAAAAACCAUAAGUGAAACUAUAACGCAAAAUUUUAGUAAGAAAUCUGACGGUGAAUCCCAGAAAAUACAUGACUUAUCUGAGCUAUGUGAUGAUGAAAAAAAUGAAAGUUAUUUAGACGAUUUUGAAGAUGACAAAUCGGAACAAAGUCGAAAAUCUGAAAAAAGCAGCAAGAGGAAUGGUUCACUAUCUGAUAUUUCUAAAAAUUCUGAGUCUAUUGAAGACUCUAAUAGUCCUGGAGAAGACAACUUUGAGAAACCUGGAACAUCUAAAAUCCAAAAUACGACAUUCACAAAAAUAUCAAAUCUAUCUUUCAAAGACUCUGUGGAUAUAUUUGAAUAUGUUCAUUCUGUUGACCGACAAGACACAGGCACACAAAGUUCCACUGAAAGUAGAAUACAGCCCAAAGAGACACAAACGUCACCCAGAAAUGAAAACUUUAAUAUACAACCUAUUCAUAAUGACUUGUGGUCUCCAAUAGAUCCUUCAGGUGAAGUUAAAAUAUGUUUAAAUUGGAGAAAGAGAUGAUUAAAAAGUUAAUUAUAGAUGAGUAUGGAGAUUUAUUAGAGAAGAAUUUAACAAAGCCAUCAACCUCUAAGGACAGCACUAGAGAAAGUGAUAAGAACAUAGCUGCAUACCAAAAGAACACACAAACAUCCCCAGCAAGAGUAAAGAAUGUUAUGACCUCCCCAAAAAAAAUGAAGACCAGGACCACUUCUCCAUUUAAUGUAACUGUUGACCAUCAUACCAGUCCCAUGAUUCCUGUUACUGAAGACAGAGGAGUAAGUGUUAACAUUGAGGAUGAAGAUUUGGAUAUUUCAAUAAACCUAUCAUCACCAAGGUUUAGCCUCCGUUUACCACAGACAUCUCGGGAUGUCUUGUCCAGACUAGGUAGUUGCAGCAAAAUUCAAUCUAAAAAUAUAACAAAAUCCAAAAUCUUUAUGAAAUCAUCAACACAAAGCUCGACAUCACUAGAUGCAGAUAAUUCCUCAUCAGAAAUAAGUAGCUUGGGUGAAAUUAAAUUAAGACUAAACAGAAGACUUAAAGUAAAGAGAGUGCCAACAGUGUCUGAAUCAAGUUCUACUUCAACCGUGUCAUUGUACAGUUCAGAUAUUUUUCAAGUGGAAUUUUGCCACUAAGGAGUCUAGGAGAGAUCAGUGGGGAACCAGCUGUUAUGAAAGAGACUAAAAGCGAUGGUGAAACUAGUUUUGAUCUGUUGAAUAAGUAAAACUUAAAGGAGAUCUAAAUUAUAAUGUUUAUAAUAAGUAGGAUAAAGUUGUUAUAAGUUGCUGUCUCGUAUCAUAUACUAUUGAAGAUUCUGUUAACAGUAUAUGUAGAUCAAAUGUUGCAGUUAGUGAAUGGCUUGCUGUUUGCACCUGUUAGGUACAGAAAUGUGAAGUGCCUUAAUAUUAUGUUUGAAUAUGAGUAUAGCGCCCAUGUUCACACCUAGAGUACAAAGUUUAUAAUAUAUGCUAUGUUUGUUAGGUUUUAUGUGUAAUUAGUUGUAUAAUGCCAUUAUAUUUUGUUUAGGUAAAGGUUUUUUUAUUAUGACUGAAAUAAAAUGUUGUUUCUGUGAAGUAUUA